Molecule: long non-coding RNA, 359 nt
Organism: Oncorhynchus nerka (sockeye salmon)
Lineage: Eukaryota; Metazoa; Chordata; Actinopteri; Salmoniformes; Salmonidae
Exons: 3
Source: RefSeq, a predicted model, not a curated record
CAUCCCUUCCUGUUUCUUAAGAUGGACGACAAGCUCCAUCGACAACUUAGCUGUGACAUCCUUCCGACUGACAGCUCCAAAGACCUUGCCAAUGAACUUGUUCAUUACGCCUUCAUAAGUGAGGAGGACUGUGGGAAGCUGGCAGGGUUCCUUGAGGACGCGCUCACCAGACACAAGGGCAAAGCGCUGGCCUCUGGGAUCACACAGUGAGAAGGGGCCUCUCCGGAAGCUGGCCCACAGAGAGGGGCCUCGAGCAUUGACCACUCAAACAGAGCAAGACAGGGGCUAGAAGGCAGGAUGACUCAGCCAGGAUCAGAGGGACUGGCUCCAGUGAGGGUUUGAAGGAUUGAGCCUGAUGA